RNAcentral lists this transfer RNA (72 nucleotides) under Camelus bactrianus (Bactrian camel). It matches the Rfam family "tRNA". From Rfam's summary of the family: Transfer RNA (tRNA) molecules are approximately 80 nucleotides in length. The record is from Rfam by way of RNAcentral. RNAcentral also lists the same sequence under 2 other names. Lineage: Eukaryota; Metazoa; Chordata; Mammalia; Artiodactyla; Camelidae.
GAGGGUAUAGCUCAGUGGUAGAGCACGUGCUUAGCAUGCAGGAGGUCCUGGGUUCGAUCCCGAGUAUCUCCA